This 636-nucleotide ribosomal RNA is filed under the name fungal sp. ARIZ L110. RNAcentral's name for it is "eukaryotic LSU rRNA". The stretch from base 255 to 408 matches the Rfam family "5.8S ribosomal RNA". Lineage: Eukaryota; Fungi. The record is from RNAcentral.
UGGAAGUAAAAGUCGUAACAAGGUCUCCGUUGGUGAACCAGCGGAGGGAUCAUUACCGAGUUUACAACUCCCAAACCCAAUGUGAACGUUACCAAACUGUUGCCUCGGCGGGAUCUCUGCCCCGGGUGCGUCGCAGCCCCGGACCAAGGCGCCCGCCGGAGGACCAACCUAAAACUCUUUUGUAUACCCCCUCGCGGGUUUUUUAUAUCUGAGCCAUCUCGGCGCCUCUCGUAGGCGUUUCGAAAAUGAAUCAAAACUUUCAACAACGGAUCUCUUGGUUCUGGCAUCGAUGAAGAACGCAGCGAAAUGCGAUAAGUAAUGUGAAUUGCAGAAUUCAGUGAAUCAUCGAAUCUUUGAACGCACAUUGCGCCCGCCAGUAUUCUGGCGGGCAUGCCUGUCCGAGCGUCAUUUCAACCCUCGAACCCCUCCGGGGGGUCGGCGUUGGGGAUCGGCCCUUUACGGGGCCGGCCCCGAAAUACAGUGGCGGUCUCGCCGCAGCCUCUCCUGCGCAGUAGUUUGCACACUCGCAUCGGGAGCGCGGCGCGUCCAUUGCCGUAAAACACCCAACUUUCUGAAAUGUUGACCUCGGAUCAGGUAGGAAUACCCGCUGAACUUAAGCAUAUCAAUAAGCGGAGG